RNAcentral lists this ribosomal RNA (939 nucleotides) under Lepocinclis fominii. RNAcentral's name for it is "Lepocinclis ovum var. fominii partial large subunit ribosomal RNA". It matches the Rfam family "Eukaryotic large subunit ribosomal RNA", at positions 2207 to 2914 of the family's 3401-position model. Lineage: Eukaryota; Euglenozoa; Euglenophyceae; Euglenales; Phacaceae. The record is from RNAcentral.
GCUCUGAUUGUCAUGGCGAAGAGAUUCAGNNANNNGGGNAAACGGCGGGAGUAACUAUGACUCUCUUAAGGUAGCCAAAUGCCUCGUCAACCAAUUAUUGACGCGCAUGAAUGGAUCAACGAGAUUCCUGCUGUCCCUAGGUGCUGUCCGGUGAACCAACAGCCAAGGGAACGGGCUUGGGCGUGUCAGCGGGGAAAGAAGACCCUGUUGAGUUUGACUCUAGUUUGAUGCUGUGCAACGACAUGUGGGGUGUAGCAUAGGUGGGAGGCCAGUGCCAUGAUGUGACACAGCACUGCGCCUAUGCCCACCGGUACACACCCACUAUCCCAGUGGCUGAGUCUAUGGUGCAUAUGGGCGAGCUAUGUGAGCGAAGAGGAGCAGAGCCUCCCAGUCUGGAUUGAUAUGGUGCAAACCUGCAGUGAAAUACCACUACCUUCACCGUCGUUUUACUCAUCGAGUGGCUUGGGAACAGCGGCCAUUGGACAUCAGCCCCUGCAAUCCUGGGGGGGUUGCGGCCUCAUCCUGCUUCGUGUGUCAAGCGUGGCCAGCUCGCUGGCUGCGUGACCCUGUGUGCGACUGCGGUCGUCACACCCAGUAUUGGUGCCUCGGGACAAUGAUCAGUUGGGGAGUUUGGCUGGGGCGGCACGCCUGUUACAUCACAACGCAGGCGUCCUGAAGCAUUGCUCAGAUGGAACAGAACUCUCCCAUGGAGGAGCAGGCCACAGGUGCUGCUGAUGCUGCGACUUCCAGUACAAGUCCGAAACGUGCAAGCGUGGCCUUGCGAUCCUUUGGUAACCCAUGCGGGUUCCGGAUAUUGAAGCCAGAGGUGUCAGAAAAAUUACCACAGGGAUAACUGGCUUGUGGCUGCCAAGCGUUCAAAGCGACGUCGCUUUUUNAUCCUUCGAUGUCGGCUCUUCCUAGCUUGGCACCCGCAGCAGA